UACGUAGGUGGCAAGCGUUAUCCGGAUUUACUGGGUGUAAAGGGCGUGUAGCCGGGCUGACAAGUCAGAUGUGAAAUCCGGGGGCUCAACCCCCGAACUGCAUUUGAAACUGUUGGUCUUGAGUAUCGGAGAGGCAGGCGGAAUUCCUAGUGUAGCGGUGAAAUGCGUAGAUAUUAGGAGGAACACCAGUGGCGAAGGCGGCCUGCUGGACGACAACUGACGGUGAGGCGCGAAAGCGUGGGGAGCAAACAGG
RNAcentral lists this ribosomal RNA (253 nucleotides) under uncultured bacterium. Its description in RNAcentral is "partial 16S ribosomal RNA". It matches the Rfam family "Bacterial small subunit ribosomal RNA", at positions 524 to 776 of the family's 1533-position model. The record is from RNAcentral.